UCUAAGAACAUAUGUGUAAACAUGAAUCUGCGAACGGCUCAUUAUGAACACCCCUAACCUACCCAGUUAUCGUAUCCGAAACGGAUAUCUGCGUUAAUUUUGGAGCUAAUACGUGCACCAGAGCACCGCCAGCAAUGGUAGUGCGCACUUAUUAGAACAAGGCCGACUGGGGCAACCCUUUUGGUGACUCUGAAUAAUUUCGCGGAUCGUAUGGUCUUGUACCGACGACGUACUGGUCGGGGGGGUGCCCUAUCAACUAUUGAUGGAAGUCUAUGUGUCUUCCAUGGUUGUAACGGGUAACGGAGAAUCAGGGUUCGACUCCGGAGAGCUAGCCUUAGAAACGGCUAUCACAUCCAAGGAAGGCAGCAGGCGCGUAAAUUACCCACUCUCAAUUCGAGGAGGUAGUGACUAUCAAUAACGAGACAGAUCUCUUUGAGGUCUGUCAUUGAAAUGAGCACAACUUAAAGACUU
Molecule: ribosomal RNA, 471 nt
Filed under: Pristionchus sp. 10 RS5133
Lineage: Eukaryota; Metazoa; Nematoda; Chromadorea; Rhabditida; Neodiplogasteridae
Description: SSU rRNA
Rfam family: Eukaryotic small subunit ribosomal RNA
Source: RNAcentral